UUGCUUUCUUUGCUGGCGACCGGCGCACGGGUGAGUAACACGUAUCCAACCUGCCCUUUACUCGGGGAUAGCCUUUCGAAAGAAAGAUUAAUACCCGAUAGCGUAAUGAUUCCGCAUGGUUUCAUUAUUAAAGGAUUCCGGUAAAGGAUGGGGAUGCGUUCCAUUAGGUUGUUGGUGAGGUAACGGCCCACCAAGCCUUCGAUGGAUAGGGGUUCUGAGAGGAAGGUCCCCCACAUUGGAACUGAGACACGGUCCAA
Molecule: ribosomal RNA, 257 nt
Filed under: uncultured bacterium
Lineage: Bacteria
Description: partial 16S ribosomal RNA
Rfam family: Bacterial small subunit ribosomal RNA
Source: RNAcentral